Molecule: unclassified non-coding RNA, 95 nt
Organism: Aotus nancymaae (Ma's night monkey)
Lineage: Eukaryota; Metazoa; Chordata; Mammalia; Primates; Aotidae
Rfam family: Y RNA
About the family: Y RNAs are components of the Ro ribonucleoprotein particle (Ro RNP), in association with Ro60 and La proteins. The Y RNAs and Ro60 and La proteins are well conserved, but the function of the Ro RNP is not known.
Source: Ensembl
AAAAAAAAAGUAGUGUUUACAACUAAUUAAUCACAACCAGUUACAGAUUUCUUUGUUCCUUCUCUUUUCCUACUGCUUCAUUUGACUAAUUUUAA